RNAcentral lists this ribosomal RNA (380 nucleotides) under Pelagostrobilidium sp. Its description in RNAcentral is "partial small subunit ribosomal RNA". It matches the Rfam family "Eukaryotic small subunit ribosomal RNA", at positions 582 to 975 of the family's 1831-position model. Lineage: Eukaryota; Ciliophora; Spirotrichea; Choreotrichida; Strobilidiidae. The record is from RNAcentral.
AUUCCAGCUCCAAUAGCGUAUAUUAAAGUUGUUGCAGUUAAAAAGCUCGUAGUUGGAUUUCUGGCGGGAUGAACACGCCCUCAGCUGAGUGUGCAUGAGCGUCUCACCAUCCUUCUGUUAACCCUUAAGGUUUUAACGACCUUCUGGGGGCUCAGAUAUUUUACCUUGAGAAAAUUAGAGUGUUUCAGGCAGGCUAGCGCCGGGAUACAUUAGCAUGGAAUAAUGGAAUAGGACUUUUUCCUCUUCUGUUGGUCUGAGGGGUUCGAGUAAUGAUUAAUAGGGAUAGUUGGGGGCACUAGUACUUUGCUGUCAGAGGUGAAAUUCUCGGAUUUGCAAAAGACUAACUUAUGCGAAAGCAUUUGCCAAGGAUGUUUUCAUCG